Long non-coding RNA from Homo sapiens (human), 1826 nucleotides. Ensembl annotates it as MIR7515 host gene. The record is from Ensembl. Lineage: Eukaryota; Metazoa; Chordata; Mammalia; Primates; Hominidae.
AUGGAAGCUGUGUUCAGGCCGGUCCACGCUGGGUGACCCAUGUGACCUGCUGCUUAGCAAUUCCUUGUCACCAUCUUCCCUUCUCAGCCUCUUUUUUCAUGCUAACAGGCAUAAAUGAAAUGAUAAAAGUUUGAGCUCUUCUCGUGGAAUUCUCGUGAUACAGAUAUGUGCUACAUGUUCAUCAUCUCGUUGGUCUUCACCAUGAUAACUGUGGAGUAAGAAUUAUAAGCAGGUCACAGAUUAGGGACUUGAGAUUGACAGUUUGGCUUCCCUGUUCUGGGUGGCAAAGCCUGUGGAGUACUCACCUACCUGCUGCAUGAAGGCAGCAUGGAGGGACUGUGGUGGAUUAUCUGCAAAGAUGGCCAAAAUUCUCUCAUCCCUGCAGGCACAUACAAGAUGCCAGAAUCAGUCAAAACUAAGCUCACUGUCCUUGCUAAUAUUCUGCCCCAGAGAAGAACUGAAGCUCAGCUCUUCACCCUACAGAAAGCCUGAAUUUUGUAAAUGUUCUGCUUAGAAUGAGGAAGAAAGAUGAAGAAUGAGGAGGAAGAAGGAAGGAACGAGAGAGAGGUUGUUGCAUGGCAUAAGUAAAGUGACAGUUAUAGGAUACAUGCAACUUUUCAGUGACAAAGAUCUGUGCAGCAUCGACAGUACUGCCUAAUGAGGUUUCACCAUAAUGAAGUAUCACAACCAGUUUACAGACCAGAAAACUGAGACACAGGAAGGGGUGGUGACUUGAGCAAGGUGCAUCAGCUGGUUUCCAGAAGUUCCCCAGUCAUUGAGCAUUUCUGAGGCUCUUGAUGCAUAUGCCAAGUAGUUAUGGAGAAAGACACAGCAGCUUACCUCUGCAGGCAUCAUUGUGUGAAAGGAAGACCCAGGCUCUCUCACCACCCUUGAACAGAAGCCUUUUGCUAAGGUGAUAGCUACAUGUCCAAGCCUAUUGCGUGGCAUGCAUUUUGCCUUCUGCAGCCCACUAAAGGAGUUUGCAGUUCACCCGCAAACCUCAGCGAUCCAAGCUCCCCUGGAUGACCAUCACUCACCAAGAAAAGAGCAAUAACAGGACCUGUUUUGCUAAUCCAGGACUGUUCUCCAGCACUAACUCUAAAUAAUCCCUUCUGCUAGAGUCCACUUUCUGGAACCUGUUGGAGAAGACAUCUUACUCUUAUUGGAUCAUGCACAGUGCCUGAAGCAUUCUGUUGCAUGUAGAAGUCAGUAAAUUGCAGAUGUAAGAUUCAAAACCAGACUUCACAUCUACCGACUUCAGUGACCCUGAAAUUUGUUCACAGAGAGCAUUUAACAUAACUGUCUUCAUCAUCUCCUUCUCUACAUUAAAAAUUAUGGAAUAUACAGGGAGGUGUGAUGUACCCAUUAUCACAAGCAGAUGGAAUCCCUAUAGAGUCGGAUCUCAUCUACAUAUCACCUAUUAUAUGUAGUUAUUGAUGGAUAAAUACUUCAACAACUAAAGGCAGAAAGAGAGCAGUUCACAAAGACGUUAUUGGUGAUUCAAUCUUGAGUCAUGAAAAGUCAACCUUGAGCCACAAAAAGUCAACCUUGAGCCAAGCAGAUUGGAGAGUCAUACAUGCCAUUCCUGGGACCAUCAAAAAUGGCAGAGGUCACACAAAAAGGCAAAACUUUUAAGAGGUGUUUUAAACGUCGUAUGGGCCAAAGAGAAGCUGGAUUUCCUAUUGGAGUCACCUGUAACACACGUGUGACGAAAUUGGCCUGUGAGGACAAGGCAGUGAGCAGAGAGGACAGCAGUCCUUAUGAGAUCAAGCUCUAAGUUUUGAGAAGAAUGCGAAGAAGAAAGGAAGAGUGAGCCUCUCUUUCCC